RNAcentral lists this ribosomal RNA (905 nucleotides) under uncultured organism. RNAcentral's name for it is "bacterial SSU rRNA". It matches the Rfam family "Bacterial small subunit ribosomal RNA", at positions 577 to 1495 of the family's 1533-position model. The record is from RNAcentral.
GGAAGGAUAAGUCAGUGGUGAAAUCUUGCGGCUUAACCGUAAAAUUGCCAUUGAAACUGGUUUUUCUUGAGUGUGCUUGAGGUAGGCGGAAUGAGUAAUGUACCGGUGAAAUGCUUAGAUAUUACUCAGAACACCGAUUGCGUAGGCAGCUUACUAAGCCAUUACUGACGCUGAUGCACGAAAGCGUGGGUAGCAAACAGGAUUAGAUACCCUGGUAGUCCACGCAGUAAACGUUGAUUACUCGUUGUUGGCAAUACAUCGUCAGCGACUGAGCAAAAGCAUUAAGUAAUCCACCUGGGGAGUACGUCAGCAAUGAUGAAACUCAAAGGAAUUGACGGGGGCCCGCACAAGCGGAGGAACAUGUGGUUUAAUUCGAUGAUACGCGAGGAACCUUACCUGGGCUUAAAUGUUAAGUGCUAUACCGGGAGACCGGUUUUUCCUUCGGGACACUUUACAAGGUGCUGCAUGGUUGUCGUCAGCUCGUGCCGUGAGGUGUCGGGUUAAGUCCCAUAACGAGCGCAACCCCUAUUGCCAGUUGCCAGCACAUCAUGGUGGGAACUCUGGUAAAACUGCCGGUGCAAACCGCGAGGAAGGUGGGGAUGACGUCAAAUCAGCACGGCCCUUAUGUCCAGGGCUACACACGUGUUACAAUGGUCGGUACAACAGGAAGCUAUUCCGCGAGGAACCGCUAAUCCCGAAAGCCGAUCUUAGUUCGGAUCGGAGUCUGCAAUUCGACUCCGUGAAGCUGGAUUCGCUAGUAAUCGCAGAUCAGCCAUGCUGCGGUGAAUAUGUUCCCGGGCCUUGUACACACCGCCCGUCAAGCCAUGGAAGCCGGGGGUGCCUGAAGUCCGUAACCGAUAAGGAGCGGCCCAGGUAAACCGUAACUGGGGCUAAGUCGUNACAAG